RNAcentral lists this ribosomal RNA (216 nucleotides) under uncultured Lactobacillus sp. Its description in RNAcentral is "partial 16S ribosomal RNA". It matches the Rfam family "Bacterial small subunit ribosomal RNA", at positions 151 to 354 of the family's 1533-position model. The record is from RNAcentral. Lineage: Bacteria; Bacillati; Bacillota; Bacilli; Lactobacillales; Lactobacillaceae.
CGGAAACAGAAUGCUAAUAACCGGAUAACAACAAGAUGAUGCCUAUCAACNGUUUAAAAGUAAUGGUUCUGCUAUCACUCUUGGAUGGACCUGCGGUGCAUUAGCUAGUUGGUAGGGUAACGGCCUACCAAGGCGAUGAUGCAUAGCCGAGUUGAGAGACUGAUCGGCCACAUUGGGACUGAGACACGGCCCAAACUCCUACGGGAGGCAGCAGAU